This 319-nucleotide long non-coding RNA is filed under the name Hordeum vulgare. RNAcentral describes it as "long non-coding RNA (HVUL_LNC016530)". The record is from RNAcentral. Lineage: Eukaryota; Viridiplantae; Streptophyta; Magnoliopsida; Poales; Poaceae.
GCCAUCCGUUCGUUUGUCACGUGUCCCUAGCAUAAAGAACGUUGAACUUCUCCAUCCGUUUCGCUUGACCGAUAGUAGCCAUAGACCCGGGAAAUAUCACCUAAUAUUUUGCCGAUCCGUCUAUGACGGAUGAUACUGCGUUAGUGCAUGCCUAGGCCUGCAUAUUGCCAUGUCAUGGAUCAUGUUGCAUCUAUUGCUGUUAUUUAUUGUUUCUUUCCCCAUCUUCUUACCGGUAGACCCCGAAACUAAUACUGUUGCCGGGUACGACUACCCUCCUGACGACCAGCCCUUUGCUGCGGAGCAACAAAGCAAACAAACC